AUUGAACGCUAGCGGCAUGCUUUACACAUGCAAGUCGAACGAGUGGCGGACGGGUGAGUAAUAUAUCGGAACGUGCCCAGUAGCGGGGGAUAACUACUCGAAAGAGUGGCUAAUACCGCAUACUAUUAGAGCGGCCGAUAUGGGAUUAGCUAGUUGGUGGGGUAAUGGCUCACCAAGGCGACGACCCGUAGCUGGUCUGAGCGGACGACCAGCCACACUGGGCCUGAGACACGGUCCAGGCUCCUACGGGAGGCGGCAGGGGGGAAGUUUGGACAAUGGGGGAAACCCUGAGCCAGCCAUCCCGCGUGUAUGAGAAGGCCUUCGGGUUGUAAAGUACUUUUGGCGGGGAAGCGGUAUCUGCAGAAUAAGCACCGGCUAACUACGUGCCAGCAGCCGCGGUAAUUC
RNAcentral lists this ribosomal RNA (405 nucleotides) under uncultured bacterium. RNAcentral's name for it is "partial 16S ribosomal RNA". It matches the Rfam family "Bacterial small subunit ribosomal RNA", at positions 30 to 526 of the family's 1533-position model. The record is from RNAcentral.